Molecule: unclassified non-coding RNA, 90 nt
Filed under: Pseudomonas helmanticensis
Lineage: Bacteria; Pseudomonadati; Pseudomonadota; Gammaproteobacteria; Pseudomonadales; Pseudomonadaceae
Source: RNAcentral
GUAGGAGCUGCCGCAGGCUGCGAUCUUUUGAUCUGUCUUUUUUCCCUGGUGAAUCAAGAUCAAAAGAUCGCAGCCUGCGGCAGCUCCUAC